This is an unclassified non-coding RNA of Aotus nancymaae (Ma's night monkey), 287 nucleotides long. It matches the Rfam family "Metazoan signal recognition particle RNA". From Rfam's summary of the family: The signal recognition particle (SRP) is a universally conserved ribonucleoprotein. The record is from Ensembl. NCBI's taxonomy places the organism in Eukaryota, Metazoa, Chordata, Mammalia, Primates, Aotidae.
GCCGGGCAUGGUGGCACGUGCCUCUAGUCCCAGCUAAUUGGGAGGCUGAGGUGGGAGGAUCGCUUGAGCCCAGGAGCUCUGCGCUGUAGUGCGCUGUGCCGUUGGGUGUCCGCACUAAGUUCGGCAUCAAUAUGGUCCCGGGGGACCACCAGAUUGCCUACGGAGGGGUGAACCGGCCCAAGUCAGAAAUGGAGCAGCUCAAAACACCUGUGCUGAUCAGUAGUGGGAUCGCGCUUGUGAAUAGCCACUGCACUCCAGCCUGGGCAAUAUAGCAAGACCUCGUUCCU